RNAcentral lists this transfer RNA (93 nucleotides) under Gammaproteobacteria bacterium. RNAcentral describes it as "tRNA-Leu". The record is from RNAcentral. Lineage: Bacteria; Pseudomonadati; Pseudomonadota; Gammaproteobacteria.
GUGUGCGUAAGUGGUGAUUUACCGUUAUCUCCGUUAGAAAGAACUGCCUUCACACGGCAGGGGUCACUGGUUCAAUCCCAGUCGCGCCCACCA